GGAUCUUCUCUAACUGCUACUCUUACAUAGCUUUCCAGUCAAGGAUGACUGACAUGUUUCAAAGCCAGGCAUCAGCUGUGUUCAGCUCUGGCUUGAAAAAAAAUAUGCAGACAACAGCACAGACCUCCUGCUACUAACAAGUAAAUAGAUAAAUAAGUCUCAGAAGUAGAACAGCUGUUCACAUAGUCUUCUCCAAAACUACUGAAAAAAAUCUGGACUUCUUCCUCUGACUUCAACAAGCUUCAGAUCAGGCUCACAAAAUGGAGAAUACGUUUCAUGUAAUUCUAAGAAGGUUACAGAGAGCAAAGCAGAAAGAGGAUUAGCUGUGUACAGUCCAAAGGCGUAUUACCUUGCAUGCUUCAGAAACAACUGGCUAGCACACUUUCACAGGAAGGAAUGGCCAGAUUCAUUUCUGGUGCCCUGCCACUAAGUCAGCACCACCAUCCCAGCAGCAAAUUUGAUCUAGAUGCUACCCAUUGGCCUCAUUAUAACAGGGAUUUGCCCAUACUGGACAUGCAUAAACAUGUUUUGUAUAAGUAC
Molecule: long non-coding RNA, 540 nt
Organism: Gallus gallus (chicken)
Lineage: Eukaryota; Metazoa; Chordata; Aves; Galliformes; Phasianidae
Source: Ensembl